UCUAAUCACAGGUUAAAGAUGUCAUUGGUAAGAUGGUCAAGAAAAGUUCAUGGCCUUAAUUAUAGAUAGUGUUAAAGCACAAUUCUAAAUAUAUAUAUUUUCCCUUAUUUUCACAGAGGCCUUCCAGGAGUUGGAUAGAGAAGGCACUGGAACUGCUGAAAUGAAUAUCACAGAGUGGCUGAUUAUGACCAUGUGUGGUUGAAGUGUAUGGUGAUCUUGUAUGUUGUAGAAGAGGACACAUACACACCCAUAGUAGAGGACAACCAUAGCCUCAAAGUGCCUCCAAAGCAUCUCAGUGCACCCAACUAAGGCUUGCAUCAUCUCAAACAAUCCCAAAGAAACUUCUACUCCCUACUUUUUUAUCACCACUACAAAUACCUUGCUGCCUCUGCUCAAUAACUUGGCAAAUGCAUUUAUCCUGGUCAAUUACACGUGAUGAAAAUGAAAUGCUUUACUAAGGGAGUCGCUGCAUAUAAAUCACUGCACGCAUUAUACAAUGGCAAUGUUUUCAGGGCAUACCGUUGUGCAAAGAAUGCCUGUAUUGUUUAAGUUCCAUUCCAAACCUUUUAGGUUUUUCUCUCUUUUGUUUAACCAUCAAAAUCAGAUGCUAGUCUGUAAUAAGAGAUAAUAUCGUACUCUGUGACUGUAUGUAUUUUUUGCUACCUUUCGCAAGAUCUUGGAUUAUAGAAAGUAUGUAGAGCUAUAGGCUGCUAAUGAACUGUAAAUUGUACUGAUGCCUUAGUCUUUAGGAUACCUCAGUACAGUACACUACAUCAGUUAAAGACAGAAAUAUAACUAAUCUUUUUCUCAAGAUCGCAAUUUUUGUCUAAAAAUUGGUGAGGGUACUUUAAACUAAAACACUAAAUGUAGGAAAGAGACUCCUCAAAAUGUGACAAGGUAAAAAGUAACUUUGAGGGUUAUGCUGAACUGCACAUUUUAAUUCUGCGAAGAAUGUCACUGAAAAAAAAACUGACUUAUCAUAUAACUUUUGAGUUAUUCAUUUUCUAAAGAUGAUUAACAUGGUUAGUGCAUAGUUAUAAUCCCUAAUGCAUACAAGGUGUGUAUGAAUGUAACCAUUUGUUACUUAUUAUUUAUCGUUGAUAUGAAAGAUAAGGUCCUUUUGCUUCCAAAACCGUACCUCAAGCGAUGCAUGUUAAUGUUCAGAUCGAGCGUCUGGGAUCUAAAGAACUCUCCCCUACAGAAGACACCUUCGUCCAAUGACUUAUAGUAUAAUGUAAUGGAAUUUAAGAGUCAUGAUCAAGGGCUACCCCACCACUUGGUUUGCUGAGAGGUAGGAUGGGACUGGAGAAAUGUAACCACUUUCAUAUGCAUACAUAGACAUGCAAGGACUAACAGUCCAUGAGAUCUUGAUUAAACGUUUGAAAGCUACAACCUUA
Molecule: long non-coding RNA, 1397 nt
Organism: Salvelinus fontinalis (brook trout)
Lineage: Eukaryota; Metazoa; Chordata; Actinopteri; Salmoniformes; Salmonidae
Exons: 2
Source: RefSeq, a predicted model, not a curated record